UUUCUCCACACCCUCUCCAGCACUUGUUAUCUGUAGACUUUUUAAUGAUGGUCAGUCUGAUGAGGAUGAGGUGUUACCUCAGUGUGGUUUUGAUUUUCAUUUCUCUGAUAAUUAGUGAUGUUGACAAUCUUUUCAUGUGCCUACUGGCUAUCCUUAUGUCUUCCUUGGAGAAAUGUCUAUUUAGGUCUUCUGCCCAUUUUUGUUUUUUUAGGGCCACAGCUGUGGCAUAUGGAAGUUUCCAGGCUAGGGAUUGAAUUGGAGCUACAACUGCCAGCCUACACCACAGCCACAGCAACACCAGGUGGGAGCUGUGUCCGUGACCUACACCACAGCUCAUGGCAAUGCCAGAUCCUUAACCCACUGAGUGGGGCCAGGGAUUGAAUCCACAUCCUCAUGGAUACUAGUUGAGUUGGUAAUCUGCUGAGCCACAAUGGGUACUCCCUCUGCCCAGUGUUUGAUAGGGUUGUUUGUUUCUUGUUAUUGAGUUGUAUGAGCUGUUUGUAUAUUUUGGAAAUUAAGCCCUUGUCAGUUGCAUCAUUUGUGACUAUUUUCCCCCAGUCCAUAGGUGGUUUUUGCAUUUUGUUUAUGGUUUCCUUUGCUGUGUGUCACAAAUUUAGAAUCAACAACCACUAGGGACCCAGCUCCAUGAGCCCACACACAUGUGAAUAUGCCAAGGUCUCCCUGACUCCCAGAUGAUCACCUACAUGGUUUUAAGUUUCACUCCACUGCAAACCAGGGCAGGGAUGCAUGUGUAGUUGUGGGUGAGAAGAUCUGUGUUCCUGUGUGCAUGUAUGAGAGAGACCUGUACAGGUGAAAGGUGACAUUGCAACCUUCCUCUCUUAGACUUGGUGCAAGAUAAAGGGAAGAGGAGGAAAAGGUGAAGUCUAGAAGUUCCUUAGAUAAGGAAUAAACUAAUUUGAUUUUCCAGGCUUGGGCAUCUAUGGGGAGGUUGGAGUUGGGCAAAUCAUAUGUAAUGGGCAGUCAGGAAGAGAAAUGAAAUGUGGAAGCCUUAUGUAUAUAUUUCCUGUGACUGUUGUAACAAAGUAUCACCAAAGAGCAGAAAUUUAUUCUCUCACAGUUCUGGAGGCUGGAAGUACAGAAUCAAGGUGUCAGUAGGGUCAUGCUCCCUCCAAAUCCUCUAGAGGAGGGUCCUUCCUUGCUUCUUCCAGAUUUUUGUGGCCCUAGGCAUCUGGUGGCAAACCUCCAGUCUCUAUUUGUCUUCACAUGGCCAGCCAUCCCCUGGGUCUGUGUCUGCACAUGGAGUUGUCCUCUCUCUGUGUGGAUCAAGUUUUCCUCUUCUUGGAGUUCUUGUCAUGGCUCAGUGGUAACAAACCCGACUAGUAUCCAUGAGGACUCAACUUUGAUCCCUGGCCUUGGUCUGUGGGUUAAGGAUCCAGUGUUGUUGUGAGCUGUGGUGUAAGUCACAGACACAGCUCAGAUCCCACACUGUUGCUGUGGCUGUGGUAUAGGCCGGCAGCUGCAGCUCUGAUUGGACUCCUAGCUUGGGAACUUCCAUAUGCCACAGGUGCAGUCCUAAAAAGCAAAACAGAAACAAAAACAAAUUUUCCUCUUCUUGUAAAGAUACUAGUCAUAUUGGUUUUAACCACCUAAUGACCUCAUCUUAAGUAAAUUGUAUUUCCAAAUAAGGUCACAUCCCCAGGUACCAGGUGUUAAGACCCAACAUAUCUUUUGUGGGAGACACAAUUCAGCCCAUAACACUUGUCUUUAGGAUUUGCUACCUUUAUUGCCAAUGUACUUUGACUUCUCUGAGCGUCAGUUUUCUCAUCUAUAAAAUGAGAUUGAGGAGUUCCCAUUGUGCUCAGUGGGUAAAGGACCUGAUGUUGCCUCCAUAAUGAUGUGGGCUUGAUCACUGGCCUUGUUCAGUGAGUUAAGGACCUGGCAUUGCUGCAAGUUGCAUCAUAGGUUGCAGAUGUGACUUAUAUCUGGUGUUGCUGUGGCUGUGGCAUAGGCUGGCAGCUGCAUCUCCAAUUCAACACCUGGUCCAGGAUCUUCCAUAUGCUGUGGGUGUGGCCAUAAAGAGAAAAGAAAAAGAAAAAAAAAAAAAAGAAAAUGAGAUUGAUAAGAACCUCCAUGAGGCUUAAAUGCACCAUGUGGUAAAAGCAGAUAUUACAGAGCCUGGCAGAGUAUAUUCCUAAUAAAUGGAGCAUCUGCUAGUGUAGACAACCCCUUUUAUCUCUGCAUUCACUAGGCUCUUUUGUAACUUGGGGGAGGAGUGAGGAGUUUGGUGAGGAUAUAGGGGAUGCAAGGGGGGGAAGAUGGAGAAAAAUAGUGUCCUAGUAGGACAUAAAUGGUCAGCCCCGAAUUGUGAUAAUUUGUGCUAAGUUGAAUAAAGGUACCAUUUUUGGAAGUGUGGUGAAGUUAAGGGAAACUCAUAAGGGCUGCACCCAGGCUAGAAACAGUUGGGAGAUCUUACCACCCAUAGAUCUGAGGAUGACCCUGGAGAGAGCUGUAUGAAAGGGGCCAUCUGUCAAGACUUGGAUUUUUGGGAAAGGGACACAGCAACCCUUCAGGGAGAAAGCCAGGGAAAUAUAUACCCAGCCCUCUGCAUCCUACCUAACAGAACCCCCAAGUUUGCUUGGUCAUAUGCUUCAUGCCUCCAGGGAAGCUGACCCAACCUUCAAUCCCAGGAGAGAAGUGUGAUUUGUCGAAACAUGAUCUUGCCUUUUUAAUUCAUUCACUGGGUAUUUACUGAGCAUCUGUUAUGUGUCAGGUACUGUUCUGAGCACGUAGCAUACCCAUAUAGAGCAAAACAUCAAAUAUCUCUGUCCUCAUAAGCUGAUUAUCCAGUGGAGGGGAAGAAAGAGACAUAAAACAAUAAACAUAAUACAUUAAUAUUGGGCAUAGAUGAUAAGUAUGAUGAAAAUAGGUAGAGCAGGGUGGAUUCAAAUGCAGCUUAGUUUAUGAAGUUACUCUCUCUCUCUUUCUCUCUUGUGUUCUCUCCCCCCUACCCCCCAUGCCACCAGCUAUCACUGUUAACAGCCUCCCUUCAAUCCUGAGGGAACCAGAGUUAAGAUGAAUGUGGCAGGGGAAAGACGAUAAGCCUGGAUUCUUGCUGACCAGUUGAAAUGCUGGAUCAAACCCUUCCUAAAGUCCACUAUACUUCUGCUUUAAACUCCAGCAUGGCCCCACUUCACCUUGUAGGCUACUGAGGCUGGAGGAAAUUCAGGAAAUCCACAAACUCUGUGGGAAGAAGGAUGAUGAGAUAAUGGAAUAGACUUCUCUCUGGUACUGCCUCUGGCUUACUGUGUAACCUUAGGCAAGUGUCUUGUGAUCUCUGAGCCCAGGUUUCUCAACCAUAAAAUGAUAUGGGAAUAUCUAUUUGACAGGGUUGUCUGAAAGAAGGAUAAGGAAGCAUAUGUGGGGACCCUGGGAAAAGAUUUAGCACACAGUAGGGGCUCAAUAAAUGGAUUCUUAUGGUUACUAGGGCUAUUUGCAGGAUGCCAGUUCUCCUCUUGCCAGGAAAGUGUUACCGUUGCACUCCCCUGCUGUUAGGGGUUGGAUUGUGUCCCCUCAAAUUCAUAUGUUGAAGUCCUAACCCUGAAGUACUGCAGAAGGUGAUUUUAUUUGGAAAUAAGAUCAUUGCAGAUGUACUUAAUUAAGAUGAGAUCAUGCUGGAGUAGGGUGGGUUCCUAAUCCACUAUAACUGAUGUCCUUAUAAAAAGGGGACAUUUGGACACAGAGACACAUGCACACAGAGAAAAUGCCACGUGAAGACUGGAGUUAUGCUACCACAAGCCAAGAAACCACCAGAAGCUAGGAGGGAUGCCUGAAACAGAUCUNNNNNNNNNNNNNNNNNNNNNNNNNNNNNNNNNNNNNNNNNNNCAUGGCCCUGACCUUGAUCUCAAACUUCUGGCCUCCAGAACUGUAAGACAAUAAAUAUCUGUUGUUUGAGUCACUCAGUUGGUGGUACUUCAUUAUGCAGCCUUAGCAUCCUAAUGCACAUGACUUUUGAAGUGAGGCAUGGCUCCACCAGUUGCUUUGACCAUAAAAUGUGUGCAGAAUUGAUGUGCAUUACUUCCAAGUGGAAUCCUUUAAAAGCAAGUGUGCAGUUCUCCAUAUCCUCUUCCUUGCCUCAGAGACCACCAUGUUUCCACCCAUUGGCCUUGAUGCCUGCAUACAGUGGACACAGGAGCUCUCUGCCAACUUAUGUUGGACAUAUAGUGUGACUGAUAAAUAAGCCUUGGUUGUCUUAAGGCCACUAAGACUUUGGGAUUUGCUACGGUUGUUAUGGUUGUGUAGAUUCCUUGAAAACUUAGUGGCUCAAAAAUAACAAUUUAUUACUUCUCAUGGUUAGAAGUAAUAACCAUGGUGGGUCAGGAAUUUGGGGACAACUUAGCCAGGCAUCUCUGGUUCAGAAUCUCUCACAAGGUUGCAGAUAAGCUCUCAGCUGUGGUUGCAUCAUCUGAAGUCUUGACUGGGGCUGGAGAAGCCACUUCCAAGGUGGCUCCCUCUAGUAGUUGGUGGGGGGAGGUCUCAGUUCCUUUCCACAGUGCAGCUUGAGCACCCUCACAACAUGGCAGCUGGUUUUCCCCAUUGUGAAUGAUCCAGACAGGGCAAAGAGGAAGUUGGAGUGUCUUUUACAUCUCAGCCUCAGAAGUUAGUCACAGUCACAUCCACUGUGUUCUUUGAUCACAUGGGUCAGCCUUGAUUCAGGAUGUGAGAGACUCCACAAGGUCGUGAGUUCCAGGAGGUGAGGCCCCAGGGCCCAUCUUGGGGGCUGACUCCAUAAGGUUGCUGUAACUGCACAACCAGCCCAUCCUGACUGAUAGAAGACACCAUAGCACUGCCUGGCUGGGAAACCUUAGAAGAAUUUCUCCUCCUUUCUGUACCUGAGUUUCCACAUCUGUAAGAGAAGAGGUUUGUUCACUUGUCAGCAGGGUGGGAAGGGUGACUUCCUAGGAAGUAAACCGAGUCCAUUGAUUCUGGGAGACUCACAGAGUUCAUGGGAGAAAAGCCCUCCUUCUACUCCCCUGCUUGUUGUCUGAAUUAAAGAUUUGAACCCAGAAAUCUUGUCCUGGAGAUCCAGAGGUGUCUGAGGUUGUAGAGUCUGGAAUGAGAUCUACAGGUCUUGGAUCUACUGUCUGCCAGCUGUGUGACCACUAGCGAGAGGCUGGAUCUCUCUGGGCUUCAGUUUUCUCAUCUGUAAAAUGGAGCUAACACUAGCGCCUACUUCAUAUGGGAGGUGAGGGUUGAAACUUUAACUCAUUACUGACCACAGGACCUAGCAUGGUCUUUGCUUUUGAGCCUGCUCAUAGGAAGCAUGUGCUAAUGUUGGCUGCUAUAAUCAUGACUUAACCAGCCACUGAGAGAACUAACCCCUGGUGAGCACCUCCUACAGGGUCCCAGAGUCAUUGAACCUCAGAGUUGAAAGAGAUUCUAAGCAUCCUUGCAUUCAAGUCCUUUCAUAUUCCAGGUGGGACAGAGGAAAUCUUGGCUUGGGUAGCAGUGAACUUCCUGAUCUUUCUUUCCAGGAACUCUACUGCGUGCUGCCUGUGGGCACAACAUUUGGGCCAAGAAAUGGAUGGGAGUUAGCUAGGAGAGAUGGAACAAGCCAGUCAGGUGUGAGUAAAAACCUGAUGUGGAAGAGAUUGGGACGAGAUGUCAAAAGACAGGGUGGGACAUCCCAUUGUGGUGCAGUGGAAAUGAAUCUGGCUAGUAUCCAUGAGGACACGGGUUCAAUUCCUGCGUUAGGAUCCGGCGUUGCUGUGAGCUGUGGCAUAGGUUGCAGAUGUGGCUUGGAUCUGGCAUUGCUGUGGCUCUGGCGUGGGCCAGCAGCUGCAGCUCCAAUUUGACCCCUAGCCUGGGAAAUUCCCUGUGCCGUGGGUGUGGCCCUAAAAAAAAAAAAA
This 5867-nucleotide long non-coding RNA is filed under the name Sus scrofa (pig). RNAcentral describes it as "lncRNA (ENSSSCG00005035112.1)". The record is from RNAcentral. Lineage: Eukaryota; Metazoa; Chordata; Mammalia; Artiodactyla; Suidae.